This is a non-coding RNA of Microcebus murinus (gray mouse lemur), 957 nucleotides long. The record is from RefSeq and is a predicted model, not a curated record. NCBI's taxonomy places the organism in Eukaryota, Metazoa, Chordata, Mammalia, Primates, Cheirogaleidae.
GGUAGGCUGAAAGGAUGGAUUUUUAUUCCCUGGUUGGAGAAUAGUUGUUUCCCUCUCUCUUGCUAGAUGUAACCAGGGAAGCCUGUUGCUCCCAUUGUUGCUGCCCCCAGGAGCUCCCCGAGGGCAAUGACAACACGCUGGUGAAAGGAGAACAAAACAAAUGCGGGGGAAACAGAGUCAGAGCCCCCUGCCUGUAGUUUGGACAUCUUGUUACAGGAAAUGAAAGUUUUCCUUAUUGUUUAAGCAGUGUCGAGUCAGUUUUCUAUACAUUGUGGUCCAAAGCAUUCUAACUAAUAUAGACCUCAGGAAAUGUUUGUUAAAUAAUUUGUUAAAUGAAUAAGGGCAAAAGUGAGUGGGCAGAAGAAAGCCAGGUGGGCUGAAAGGAGAGUGGAAGCGGAUCAGGGCAGAGCUGGGAUGCCGUGAGCUGGAAGUGAAUUCCUGCAAGGGGCCUUGGCCAGGGAGCUGCUGUGUGUGGGCCCGAGAGGACCCUGUGAGGCCCACUUGGGUGUCCGGGAGCUGGAGCUGUGUCGGGCAAGAGUGCUCGCCAGGGGUCCCGAUGAGUAGGAACUGAACACCGCCUGCACCCCAGGCUCGCUCCGGUGGUUCCGUCUACGGGAGCGUGAAGUUCAUUUUUGUUUGCUUAUUUAUUUACUAGAACUGCAAGUUCCAUGAGAUCAAGUACAUUGUCUUCUUUGUUCGUUGUGGAAUCCCUCCAAUGGCUAAAAUAGUGCCUGACACAAGGAGCCAAUAAGUCUGGAUCAAGAACCUCACUCAACAUGUGUCAUUAGGGUUUGCUCUGCCACUCACUCUCUGGUUACCCUGUUCCCAUGUGAAGAUGCCUCCCGGAGCACUCCCAGAACAACCGGAAGAUCAAAGCUGGCCUGCUAUCUCUUCCCUACCCUGGCAGGAGACUGAUGGUUUAUUUUCUCAAGAAACUGAGCUAGAGAAGAUAGUAGA